Molecule: ribosomal RNA, 364 nt
Filed under: uncultured eukaryote
Lineage: Eukaryota
Description: partial 18S ribosomal RNA
Rfam family: Eukaryotic small subunit ribosomal RNA
Source: RNAcentral
CAAAAGCGUAUAUUAAAGUUGUUGCAGUUAAAAAGCUCGUAGUUGAACCUUGGGCUUGGCUGGCCGGUCCAUCUUUUUUGAUGCGUACUGGACCCAGCCGAGCCUUUCCUUCUGGCUAGCCUUUUGGCGAACCAGGACUUUUACUUUGAAAAAAUUGGAGUGUUCAAAGCAGGCCUUUGCUCGAAUAUAUUAGCAUGGAAUAAUAGAAUAGGACGUUAUGGUUCUAUUUUGUUGGUUUCUAGGACCAUCGUAAUGAUUAAUAGGGACGGUCGGGGGUAUCAGUAUUCAGUUGUCAGAGGUGAAAUUCUUGGAUUUACUGAAGACUAACUACUGCGAAAGCAUUUACCAAGGACGUUUUCAUUAA